RNAcentral lists this long non-coding RNA (1529 nucleotides) under Lonchura striata (white-rumped munia). RNAcentral describes it as "domestica (Bengalese finch) lncRNA (ENSLSDG00000016796.1)". The record is from RNAcentral. Lineage: Eukaryota; Metazoa; Chordata; Aves; Passeriformes; Estrildidae.
UAGCCAGGAUUUGCUGACUGGAAGAUUGCUCUGAUGGAAGAUAAUUGUUUGUUCUUGUAUUUGUAGAUUGUCGAAGGCACAUGGGAUGCUUACCCAGACUCUGUUUGCCAAGGCCGCUUCAUGCUUGCUCAUUUUUGAAAAUACUAUAAUUUUUUAUUGAUCUGAUCUCAUUAGUGAUGGGUACAAGUGGCCUUUGCAUGCACUGAGCUUUCGUGCCCUUGUGGCAGUGUCUUAAUGAGUGCACAAAUGCAGGUCACUGAGCUACCUUUGGACUUUAGCAUGUGUCCAUUCAAUGGCCCAGGCAGCUGUGUUGGUUACAGUAGAAAGAGUUUUGAUCUGAGAAAAUGGCAUGAUUUGAUCUAAUCAAUACUUUCCAUAUUUAUUUUUUUUAAACAGAACUGUCUGGCAUAAGCUAACAUACAUUUGCAGUGUCAGCACUGACCAGAAUGUUAAGGUAAAUGGAUUUCUACACAGGAUGGAAGAUGACAUUAUGGAGCAUUUUCUGCAGACUAUCACUACUAAAGUCAAGGGAACACUGAAGGACCACUUCAAAAAGUGUGACAGUGGUUUUGACCACAUCCUUGAAUCCUUAAAGCAAAACUUUUUGACCUUUGGGAAGAAAAAAACUGAUAUAUAUGAGGCCCUUGUCAAGGCUGCCAAUGCCAUCAUUAUUACAGAAUACAUGCAGGCCCUCCUGACCACUCCCAGGAAACCAUCUGUUAUGCAGAGGAGGAGGAUUGUCAACAAGAUGGAAGAAGAUCAUAGGAUGAUGCAAGCCAUCUUUAAAGAGUGCUUAGGUCCUGCAGCUGGUUCUCUCAAGGAUCCCAUAAAAGCAAUUUUAGAGCUUGUUCAAACUUCUGAUCCUGAGGGGAUGAAAAUAGCACUUCUGCCCAUUCUAAAAGAAUUUCCAGACCUCAGGAAGGAACAUCUGAGUGCAGUGCUGGACAUGAAAGAUUCACUCAGCUGGGAAGACAGAGCUGCUCUCUUGAAGGCAUUUCAUGAUAAUUGCAGGGAAUUGGAAACAGAAGCAAACAUGCUCUUUGCAGAUAUAGAAGUGAAACCUAGCAAAUGUGGACUCUGUGGCUGCCUCUGCUGUUAGCAAAGCUGUUUUCUUGCCUUCCCUCAGGCCUGCUGGGAGAAACAUGAGGACUUGCUCUGUUGUGCCAGCAUCUGCAACCACAGCUCCUUGAAAGCUUCAUAUGCAGCUGGAUGCAUGGAGAAGCCUGUCAGCCAUGGAAGACAAAAUUCCUGCACUUUUGCAGGAAAACCAUGAGGCUCAAAUCCUAAUCUUAUAUGUAAAGUCCAGGAGGAAGAUAAAUAGGAUAUGGUCAAAAGACAUUUCUUCAAAAUUUCCUAGAGACUGCCAUUCAGCUGAGUCCUGGUGGUUAUUCCUGGGAUGGGGCAAGUGUGGAGGAGCAUUUCUCCUCACUGAAUUCCUCUGUUUCCGUCCCUUGUUCCAUGAAAUCUCUAAUGAAUCCAGGGACUGCUGCACCACAUGGUGUCCCAGCAUUGCAACCUCCCAAGGGAUU